GUGUUUAUUUAAAAAAUGAGGUUGAAGGUAGUCCUUUUCUUUCAUUUCAUUCAUUUUCAUUUUCUUUCUUAAGUAUGGCUAACACAAUAUCUAAUCAAUUAAAAUUUUAUAUUUUCACGUGAAAAGUUUCUUUAGAUAAUUAUUAUCAACAUGAUGACUCACUCUUACGGAUUAAUACGUGUCUGUAGGGCAAUCCGGUGGACUUGAUCGGCUUUUUACUUCGAAAGUUGAGUAAUCGGUGUCGCUUUCUUACGCAUCUUUGAACUGUAUAAAUGUUUUAAAAUUGUUUGAUCCAGAAUGUACCACACCGGACAAUCAAGAAGGCAGGUGCCUUGACUACAGAAAAUGUAAACCUCUGCAAGAAAUAUGGCAGAUACAGUACCGUACAGCCACCGAUUUUUAUAGACGAUCAGUGUGCAGAUACCAGGGCAAUGUUACGAUCGUUUGCUGUCCGAACGAUCCAAACAAAGAGAAGAGAGAAAUUUUAAUAAAAACUGUGUAUAAGUAUAAGGCUUUGCGACCACCAUACUGUGGUUUUAGCAACGUCUCUCAUACCAGGGUGGUCGAUGGUAAACCAGCUGAACUUGGAAGAGUAUCUUUUUGCUUGAAAUAAAAAAUUGAUAUAGGAGUAAUAAUAUGGAUAGAGAACAAAAACUGUUAGGGCAGAAAUUACACGUUUGAACUUUAUAGUUCAGUAUAGUUCAAAUAGAAAUUAUAUAGAAUUAUUUAAUAAUUUGUAUUCCACUGGAAUAAAAAUUUAAUUUCUGUCUUUAUCAAAUCUCUAUUUCAGAGUAUUUGUACGUAUGUACUUAUCGUCUGCUGUAUGAUCGAAUAUCGAAUAGGCGCUUGGCCAUGGAUCGCUGCAUUAGGUUUUCGUAAUCCCCGAAACCCAGACAAACCACUAUGGAAGUGCGGAGGUUCCCUGAUAUCGGCUAGGCAUGUUUUGACCGCAGCACAUUGUGCACAUAUGGAUGGAAUAGAAAACAUACACAAUCAUAAUAUUGUCAUUCUUAGAUUGGUGGAGGAGGUGCCAUU
Molecule: long non-coding RNA, 1035 nt
Organism: Bombus huntii
Lineage: Eukaryota; Metazoa; Arthropoda; Insecta; Hymenoptera; Apidae
Exons: 3
Source: RefSeq, a predicted model, not a curated record